This 567-nucleotide long non-coding RNA is filed under the name Sorghum bicolor (sorghum). RNAcentral describes it as "long non-coding RNA (SBIC_LNC007787)". The record is from RNAcentral. Lineage: Eukaryota; Viridiplantae; Streptophyta; Magnoliopsida; Poales; Poaceae.
CGGCGUAGGGUGGGGCGGCUCCCUCGCUCCGGGUCGCGGCGGAGGACGGCGUGGCAGAGAAAGGAGGACGGCGCGUCGGAGGAGGCUCCUGCGCGGCAGCGGAGGGGGCUCCUUCGCGGCCGCGGAGGGUCUCCCGCGCGGUGGCGUCGUGUCCGAGGGGGAUCCCAGGCGAUGUUGGGGAUGAGGCCGCCGGUUGGGGAUAAGGUGGGAUUUUUUUUCUUUUUUUAAUGCUCCAAUCCUCCGUGUGGGUGAGAAUCCGAGAGGAUAAGGCUGCGAGUCGGCUGCGAGACUGACCUAUGGCCUGAGUGGUCCUAGCCAACGACUAAUAAUUAGGGACAUGAUACUGUGGCUUCAACGACAGUUAAAAGGGGACGGAGGGAGUAUCUCACAAAAAGCAACAUGCCCAGUGGAGUACAGCAGGCCCCGAGUGGCUCUAUGGUGGGAACCACGCAGAGCAGAGCAGAAAACUGCGACGGUGACCGCACCACUCAGAGAUUUAGCGGCACGAACCUCGUUUCCACUGUUUCUCUUCUUCUCUUGCUCCCACGAUUCUUUUUUUCCGGCCAU